This is a non-coding RNA of Mus caroli (Ryukyu mouse), 1485 nucleotides long. NCBI's taxonomy places the organism in Eukaryota, Metazoa, Chordata, Mammalia, Rodentia, Muridae. The record is from RefSeq and is a predicted model, not a curated record.
CGAGGGAUGCUCAAGGACAGUGCUAUGCUAGAAUACCUGAAGAUUGCCCAGGACCUAGAAAUGUAUGGGAUCAACUAUUUCGAGAUCAAAAACAAGAAAGGAACAGACCUUUGGCUUGGAGUCGAUGCCCUUGGACUUAACAUUUAUGAGAAAGAUGACAAGUUGACCCCGAAGAUUGGCUUCCCUUGGAGUGAGAUCAGGAGCAUCUCUUUCAACGACAAGAAGUUUGUCAUUAAGCCUAUCGACAAGAAGGCACCUGACUUUGUGUUCUACGCCCCGCGCCUGAGAAUUAACAAGCGGAUCCUGCAGCUCUGCAUGGGGAACCAUGAGCUGUACAUGCGCCGCAGGAAGCCCGACACCAUCGAAGUGCAGCAGAUGAAGGCCCAGGCUCCGGAGGAGAAGCACCAGAAGCAGCUGGAGCGACAACAGUUGGAAACCGAGAAGAAGAGGAGAGAGACGGUAGAGAGAGAGAAGGAACAGAUGCUCCGGGAGAAGGAGGAGCUGAUGCUGCGGCUGCAGGACUAGGAGCAGAAGACCAAGAGGGCGGAGAAAGAGCUCUCCCAGCAGAUUGAGAAGGCCCUCCAGCUGGAGGAAGAGAGGAGGCGAGCCCAGGAGGAGGCUGAACGUCUGGCCGCAUGGCCGCCCUGCGGGCCAAGGAAGAACUGGAGAGACAGGCCCAGGAUCAGAUAAAGAGCCAGGAGCAGCUGGCUGCAGAGCUGGCAGAGUACACGGCCAAGAUUGCACUGCUGGAGGAGGCGCGGAGGCGCAAGGAGGACGAGGUAGAAGAGUGGCAGCACCAGGCUAAAGAAGCCCAGGACGACCUGGUGAAGACCAAAGAGGAGCUGCAUCUGGUGAUGACGGCCCCACCGCCCCCACCACCCCCAGUGUAUGAGCCCGUGAAUUACCACGUGCAGGAGGGACUGCAGGACGAGGGAGCAGAGCCCAUGGGCUACAGUGCUGAGCUCUCCAGUGAGGGCAUCCUGGAUGACCGCAACGAGGAGAAGCGGAUCACAGAGGCAGAGAAGAAUGAGCGCGUGCAGCGGCAGCUGCUGACCCUGAGCAACGAGUUGUCCCAGGCCCGGGAUGAGAACAAGAGGACCCACAAUGACAUCAUCCACAACGAGAACAUGCGGCAAGGCCGGGACAAGUAUAAGACGCUGCGGCAAAUCAGGCAGGGCAACACCAAGCAACGCAUUGACGAGUUCGAGGCCAUGUAGAGGCCAGGCUGGGACCAAGGGCGGAGGGCACCUCACUGCAGGCAGGUGUCACACUUGGCUCUUUAGUGUUCUCUUAAGUUUAGAAACCCCCUUGCUGUGAUCCAGUCCCUUAAAGAGCAGUUACGGGGCCUGCGUUCUGCCCCGAGACCCAGUGGGCUCCUCCCUGGUUCCUUCCAAUUGUACCACAUAGUGCCAAACAGGUCAGAUUUAAUGACAGUCACCGAAUCACUUCCUGUUUGGAUCAGGGAUUCGGAGGGCUGGCCCUCAU